CCUACGGGAGGCAGCAGUGGGGGAUAUUGCACAAUGGGGGAAACCCUGAUGCAGCGACGCCGCGUGUGGGAAGACGGUCCUCUGGAUUGUAAACCACUGUCCCCAGGGACGAAGAUGACGGUACCUGGGGAGGAAGCUCCGGCUAACUACGUGCCAGCAGCCGCGGUAAGACGGGGGGAGCGAGCGUUGUCCGGAAUUACUGGGUGUAAAGGGAGCGGAGGCGGGACUGCAAGUUGGGUGUCAAAUCUACCGGCUCAACCGGUAGCCGCACUCCAAACUGCAGUUCUUGAGUGCAGUAGAGGCAGGCGGAAUUCCUAGUGUAGCGGUGACAUGCGUAGAUAUUAGGAGGAACACCAGUGGCGAAGGCGGCCUGCUGGGCUUUUACUGCCGCUGAGGCUCGAAAGUGUGGGGAGCAAACAGGAUUAGAUACCCGAGUAGUC
Molecule: ribosomal RNA, 440 nt
Filed under: uncultured bacterium
Lineage: Bacteria
Description: partial 16S ribosomal RNA
Rfam family: Bacterial small subunit ribosomal RNA
Source: RNAcentral